This 702-nucleotide long non-coding RNA is filed under the name Glycine max (soybean). RNAcentral describes it as "long non-coding RNA (GMAX_LNC001361)". Lineage: Eukaryota; Viridiplantae; Streptophyta; Magnoliopsida; Fabales; Fabaceae. The record is from RNAcentral.
AUGGCCUCAUAGUACUCCAUCUCCGUGUCCCUCACCAAGUCCAUCUCCGCCACGCAUAGCAGCACCGGAGGCAGUUUCAGCCCUUCGAGUGGCGGUGCCGCCUCACCCAUCGGGCACGUAAAGGGGUGGUCCUUGGUGGCCCCAACAGGAAGCGCCAAGGCUAAGAACUUGUCCAGCAUGUCCAACGUUAAAAACGGUGUCUGUGGCAUUUCCAUCUCGGACCGGCUCCGGUUGGACCGGACAAAACCGGGGUGAACCGGAAUUGCCCCCGCGACCCGGACCGGGCUUAGGUCCGCCGAACCGGCCCUCGCGGCCACCUCAUGCACCGAGUUUCCGCCAGAACUGUCUCCUAUGAGGAAAACCCGGUUGAAGUCACCGUGUUGCUCGAGCCACGGCUCGAGUGAACCGGACCGGGCCACGGUUUGGAGCCAGAGGAGGGUGUCAAAGCCGUCAUCGAUGGCGGCGGGGAGGCGGUGCUCUGGGGCACGGCGGAGGAACGGGGAAACCACGAUGGACCGAGUGGACCGGGCGAACCGGGUGUAGACUUGGUAGUACAUGAACCAGUCCGGUUCACUUAUGCAAAACCCGCCGCCGUGGAAAUGGAGGACAAUUGGUAGUUUUUGGCUGUCUUCCGGCUUUAUCUCUGGCAGAUAAAGUCGGACAUGGUGGCCACUCUGGCCACCACCGUGAGUAACGGCGACG